AUGGCUUCGGAGAUGGAGUCCUCUCUGGAGGCCAGCUUCUCCAACAGCUGCGUGGUGCCAGCCACUGAGGGGUGUCUGCCUCCUGCCCACUCCCGCAUCUUCAAGAUCAUGGUGAUCCGCGACUCCAAUGUGGGCAAGACGUGUCUGACCUACCGCUUCUGCGCCGGCCGCUUCCCGGACCGCACGGAGGCCACCAUCGGGGUGGAUUUCCGAGAAGGAGCGGUGGAGAUCGCCGGGGAGCGCGUCAAGAUCCAGCUGUGGGACACGGCAGGCCAGGAGCGCCUCCACAAGAGCACGGUGCAGCACUACUGCGCAACGUGCACGCCGUGGUCUUCGUGUACGAUGUCACCAACGUGGCCAGCUUCCACAGACUGCCGGCCUGGAUCGAGGAGUGCAAGCAGCACCUGCUGGCCGGCGACAACCCGCGCAUCCUCGUGGGGAACAAGAGUGACUUGCGCGGCGCCGUGCAGGUGCCCACGGACCUGGCGUGGAAGUUCGCGGACGCGCACAGCCUGCCGCUGUUCGAGAGGUCGGCCAAGAGCCCGCACGACAGCGACCACGUGGAGUCUGUCUUCACGACCCUGGCGCACGAGCUCCAGAGCCACAGCCCGCUCGUGCUCAGCCAGCCCCCUGGCGCAGGGUGGCCCUGAAGCCCGAGGCCAAGCCCGCGCUGCCCUGCUGGUGCUGAGUGGAGACGUGAGCGGGGUCUGCCGAGCAGCGCUGCCCAGUGCCCGCGUCGUGUCUCCUUCAUCAGGGCUGUCACUGUGACCCCGGGGAAAGGUACCUCUCACUGAGGUGGGAGAGGCGAGCAGGAUGUGCCCUGGGCUGGAGGGAGGCAGGGACAGAGCCU
This is an RNA transcript of Octodon degus (degu), 850 nucleotides long. It is a transcript of the gene named ras-related protein Rab-33B pseudogene, with no coding region annotated. The transcript has a single exon. Lineage: Eukaryota; Metazoa; Chordata; Mammalia; Rodentia; Octodontidae. The record is from RefSeq and is a predicted model, not a curated record.